Molecule: long non-coding RNA, 255 nt
Organism: Bufo bufo (common toad)
Lineage: Eukaryota; Metazoa; Chordata; Amphibia; Anura; Bufonidae
Exons: 3
Source: RefSeq, a predicted model, not a curated record
AAUAACAUAAAUAAUAGUGAAGAAAAUGUAUUGGCAGAAUGGGGUGGCUCUACUAAUCAAUGGGGAUGGAAUGGUGCUCAAUAUCUCAGUGUGAACUCCACACACCAAAGCAUUAAUACAAAAAGAUAGUUAAGAAAGAUAUGGCACUCAUAUAUCCGGAAGACUGCUCAAACAUUUGAUUUUAUUAUAUUCAAAUAUUCUGCAGGUCACAAAUUACUAAAAAUCAUGCAUCUAAAAUCAACAUACAAGAUACGU